CAGCAGCCGCGGGAAUACAGAGGGUGCGAGCGUUAAUCAGAUUUACUGGGCGUAAAGCGUGCGUAGGCGGCUUCUUAAGUCGGAUGUGAAAUCCCUGAGCUUAACUUAGGAAUUGCAUUCGAUACUGGGAAGCUAGAGUAUGGGAGAGGAUGGUAGAAUUCCAGGUGUAGCGGUGAAAUGCGUAGAGAUCUGGAGGAAUACCGAUGGCGAAGGCAGCCAUCUGGCCUAAUACUGACGCUGAGGUACGAAAGCAUGGGGAGCAAACAGGAUUAGAUACCCGUGUAGUCCCUGUCUCUUAUAC
RNAcentral lists this ribosomal RNA (301 nucleotides) under uncultured bacterium. Its description in RNAcentral is "partial 16S ribosomal RNA". It matches the Rfam family "Bacterial small subunit ribosomal RNA", at positions 509 to 807 of the family's 1533-position model. The record is from RNAcentral.